Molecule: ribosomal RNA, 254 nt
Filed under: uncultured bacterium
Lineage: Bacteria
Description: partial 16S ribosomal RNA
Rfam family: Bacterial small subunit ribosomal RNA
Source: RNAcentral
UACGUAGGGUGCAAGCGUUAAUCGGAAUUAUUGGGCGUAAAGGGCGCGUAGGCGGCCUUGCAAGUCGGUUGGUGAAAGCCCGGGGCUCAACCCCGGAGGUGCGGCCGAGACUGCAGGGCUGGAGGCCGGAAGAGGAGGGUGGAAUACCCAGUGUAGAGGUGAAAUUCGUAGAUAUCAAGCGGAACACCGGUGGCGAAGGCGGCCUUCUGGAUAGUGACUGACGCUGAGACGCGAAAGCGUGGGGAGCAAACAGG